Molecule: unclassified non-coding RNA, 1432 nt
Filed under: Leishmania donovani
Lineage: Eukaryota; Euglenozoa; Kinetoplastea; Trypanosomatida; Trypanosomatidae
Description: gene:LdHU3.25.0700(CDS-product:hypothetical_prote in_conserved)
Source: RNAcentral
UGCAGCCUUCUGGCAAGUCUCGCGUGUGUGUGUGUGGAGCGAAACGCAUAGAUAUAUCCACACACCCACCCAUAUUGGUGCAUAGGCGUGGGCUGGUAUCCAUAGUGCCUCUGCUUGAUUCGUGUAGCCAUGCGGCGUGUGCAGCGCACCCCUCUGCGCCUUGGCGCGCUCGUCGUGUCACGACGGACCAUUAUACCGGGCCACAUCCCCACCGAGGGCCCCGGCCCCAACGGCAGCAGCCACGGCUGGGAGAUGCGUCGCGGCCACCAUCUGCAGAGUAGCGUUGGCCUGCAUACUCCCAUCAAGACAGCUUGCGGCCGCGAGUUUAACCCACAGGUCUACUAUGAGGUGCUGCAGGCUUGCUGCGAUCAGCAGUGGCUGGUCGCCAUCCAGCGAGAGCUAAGGACGGACACCGAGUAUGUCAACUACCUGCGCCAACACGGUGGGGCCGCGAAGGACAUGCGAAUGCUCACCGACAGUGUGCAGCACGACGACGAGUUCAUGGCCAGGCUGAAGGAGAAGCUCAAGACGGAUGAGAAAAUGUCACUAACGCUGUGCGCAGUGCAGGAUAGCUACAUGCGCAUUCGCAAGAAGCGCGACCUUCAUGAAACGCAGGUGGCGGCGGACGGCGGCCGGGACCCGUAUACCUCCCUGAAGGCGAGCCGCAAGGGCGACUUUGGCUCUCAGAUGCCCCAGUUUUAGCCCGCCCGGCAGGGGAGCGGAAGUGGGCAAACGGAUGCGGAUUAGCUGAUGUGAUGGUGUGCGUGUUCUGCUUUUCGGUGCCGGUGCCUUGUCAGAAUGUCUUUCACUGUGCGAGAAUGUGCACCUCCCAUCCCCGCCAGGGGGUUCGCGAAGAGCCCACAACCAAAAGCAGGUGCGUGCCGUGCGAAGCGUUUGCUUGGAGCGCGAUAGAGGAGUGCAAGGGGCGGGUAGGGAGUAAGGAACGAGGGAGGCGGUCACACCCAUGCGCAAAUGCGGAGGCCUACACAGGUGUGCGUACCAGCGCGUGUGCCGGAGGAGAGAGCACAAGCCGCGGCAAGCAGUGCACUUGUCGAGUGCUUUGAGGCAUCCCAGGAUAGGCUUGGGCGACGGGCGCCUCGUUUUGUUGUUUUCACAUGACUUUCGGAUGUGUUCCGGUUGGGGCGUGCGCUUGCAUGCCUGUCUGCCCUUGUGUGUGUGUGUGUGCAUUUCGCUUCUCUCCGUCUCCCUCCGAGCCCUCCCCCCCGCCCUAGCCGCCAACGCCACCACUGCCGCCGCCUCGCCUUCUCCAUUGUCCCUCUCUCCGCGCCAGAGUGCCCUUGGCAGCGUUUCUCUGUGCAUUCUUCGACAUUUCUUUUAGUGCGCUUCAUUCCCCCCCCUCCCCCUCCUUUUGCGGUGUUGCCCUGCUGCUCCCCUUUUCUGUUUCUCUUCGCUUGGCCCUGCACGAGGCAAG